This is a non-coding RNA of Motacilla alba alba, 291 nucleotides long. Lineage: Eukaryota; Metazoa; Chordata; Aves; Passeriformes; Motacillidae. The record is from the annotation of a RefSeq genome assembly.
ACCCUGCUGGAGUCCGGGGGGGACCUCCAGCCCCCCGGGGGGUCCCUGCGCCUCCUCUGCCGCGGCUCCGGGUUUGAUUUCGGAAAUUUUGAAAUUUACUGGAUCCGCCAGAGAUCGGGGAAUGUGCUGGAAUUCGUCGCACAGAUCAACAGCAAGGGCGAAAACGCCGUGUACGCGCCGUCGGUCAAGGGCCGGUUCACGGUGACAAGGGACAAUGGGCAGAGCUCGGUGACGCUGGCCAUGAGCAGCCUCAAGGACGAGGAUUCCGGAUCCUAUUUCUGUGUAUGGUGA